Molecule: ribosomal RNA, 1244 nt
Filed under: Candidatus Phytoplasma oryzae
Lineage: Bacteria; Bacillati; Mycoplasmatota; Mollicutes; Acholeplasmatales; Acholeplasmataceae
Description: bacterial SSU rRNA
Rfam family: Bacterial small subunit ribosomal RNA
Source: RNAcentral
GGAAACAGUUGCUAAAACUGGAUAGGAAAUAAAAAGGCAUCUUUUUAUUUUUAAAAGACCUUUUUCGGAAGGUAUGCUUAAAGAGGGGCUUGCGGCACAUUAGUUAGUUGGUAGGGUAAAGGCCUACCAAGACUAUGAUGUGUAGCUGGACUGAGAGGUUGAACAGCCACAUUGGGACUGAGACACGGCCCAAACUCCUACGGGAGGCAGCAGUAGGGAAUUUUCGGCAAUGGAGGAAACUCUGACCGAGCAACGCCGCGUGAACGAUGAAGUAUUUCGGUAUGUAAAGUUCUUUUAUUGAAGAAGAAAAAAUAGUGGAAAAACUAUCUUGACGCUAUUCAAUGAAUAAGCCCCGGCAAACUAUGUGCCAGCAGCCGCGGUAAUACAUAGGGGGCAAGCGUUAUCCGGAAUUAUUGGGCGUAAAGGGUGCGUAGGCGGUUUAAUAAGUCUAUAGUUUAAUUUCAGUGCUUAACACUGUUCUGCUAUAGAAACUAUUAAACUGGAGUGAGAUAGAGGCAAGUGGAAUUCCAUGUGUAGCGGUAAAAUGCGUAAAUAUAUGGAGGAACACCAGAGGCGUAGGCGGCUUGCUGGGUCUUUACUGACGCUGAGGCACGAAAGCGUGGGGAGCAAACAGGAUUAGAUACCCUGGUAGUCCACGCCGUAAACGAUGAGUACUAAGUGUCGGGGUUACUCGGUACUGAAGUUAACACAUUAAGUACUCCGCCUGAGUAGUACGUACGCAAGUAUGAAACUUAAAGGAAUUGACGGGACUCCGCACAAGCGGUGGAUCAUGUUGUUUAAUUCGAAGAUACACGAAAAACCUUACCAGGUCUUGACAUACUCUGCAAAGCUAUAGCAAUAUAGUGGAGGUUAUCAGGGAUACAGGUGGUGCAUGGUUGUCGUCAGCUCGUGUCGUGAGAUGUUAGGUUAAGUCCUAAAACGAGCGCAACCCUUGUCACUAGUUGCCAGCAUGUUAUGAUGGGCACUUUAGUGAGACUGCCAAUGAAAAAUUGGAGGAAGGUGAGGAUCACGUCAAAUCAUCAUGCCCCUUAUGAUCUGGGCUACAAACGUGAUACAAUGGCUGUUACAAAGAGUAGCUGAAACGCAAGUUAAUAGCCAAUCUCAUAAAAACAGUCUCAGUUCGGAUUGAAGUCUGCAACUCGACUUCAUGAAGUUGGAAUCGCUAGUAAUCGCGAAUCAGCAUGUCGCGGUGAAUACGUUCUCGGGGUUUGUACACACCGCCC